Molecule: ribosomal RNA, 478 nt
Filed under: uncultured bacterium
Lineage: Bacteria
Description: partial 16S ribosomal RNA
Rfam family: Bacterial small subunit ribosomal RNA
Source: RNAcentral
GACGAACGCUGGCGGCGUGCUUAACACAUGCAAGUCGAACGGUAAGGCCCUUCGGGGUACACGAGUGGCGAACGGGUGAGUAACACGUGGGUGAUCUGCCCUGCACUUCGGGAUAAGCCUGGGAAACUGGGGCUAAUACCGGAUAGGACCACUGCCUGCAUGGGUGGUGGUGGAAAGCUUUUGCGGUGUGGGAUGGGCCCGCGGCCUAUCAGCUUGUUGGUGGGGUGAUGGCCUACCAAGGCGACGACGGGUAGCCGGCCUGAGAGGGUGACCGGCCACACUGGGACUGAGAUACGGCCCAGACUCCUACGGGAGGCAGCAGUGGGGAAUAUUGCACAAUGGGCGCAAGCCUGAUGCAGCGACGCCGCGUGAGGGAUGACGGCCUUCGGGUUGUAAACCUCUUUCAGCACCGACGAAGCGCAAGUGACGGUAGGUGCAGAGGAAGGACCGGCCAACUACGUGCCAGCCGCCGCGGUAA